GGAAACAAUGGCUAUUUUGAGGUAAAAAGUAGGCGACUGGGGUUGGGCAUGUAGGGAAAACUGAGGGGGGUAAAAUGCGAGAUUAUCUCUAGGAGAGAGCAGGAACAUCCUGAGGUAAACUGAGGGAAUUGCUGUGGACAGGUGGGUAAAUCUGGGGAUAAAACUUGAGGGAAUCCCCACAGUAGAAAAGAGUAUUUUGAGGCAAAAAUAAGGUACACAGAGGUGGAGAGGUAGGGAAAAUUUCACCUGUAAAAUCUGAGGUGAUCUGUAACAGAGGGCAGGCACUUCAUGGGGCAGACUGAGGUAAUUGGUCAUGGACAGGUAGGGAAAUGAUUGGGCAGGGGAGGGGAAUAAAAAUGGAAAGCAUCCAUAGGGUAAAGAGUGUAAAUACUGAGGUAGAAAUGAGGAAAUAGGUAGUGAACAGGUAGGGAAAAUGUUGGGAGUAAAGCCUGUGGUAAUCUCCAGAGUAGAGAAAGAAUGCUUUCUCGUAAAAAAAUGAGGAAAGCAGAAGGGGACGGACAGGGAAAAUCUGGGGGUAAGAUCUCAAGGGAUCUCCAGGUGAGGGAAUGACUGUUUUGAAGUAUAAUCUCAGGACUCACUGUGUCCUCCUUCCUUGGCAGCAGCUGGUGGGGAAGAGAGAAGAGGCCGCAGGCUGGAGAGGAGCAGGAGAAACCCCCCUGGCAUCACCAGGCCACCUGUGGGGAACAGAACGGACACUUCGGGAGUAAAAAGAGGAAAGGGAUGCACAUCCCUGCCUUCAGCGCACCUCCAGUGGGACCCACCUGAAAAAGCUUUCCAUCACUUCUUCAUCAGCUUCCAGCUGGCUCCCUGAAAAACUCCAAACUUCAUCCAAACACAUUUGUCUAAGCUUUCAUUUUAAGGCAUCUCUGAGAGAAUUGCUGGGGAUUUCAUUUCUGUGAGAGAAAUCCCCUUGGCUUUAGUGCUGCCGAUGGAUGAUGUCCUCAGGCUGGAAGGGGGGAUUUGGGGUGGCCAGGACAUACCUGGCAGCCGCGCAGGAGCUCCGGGAGGUCGGAACUGGGAAUCGCCAUCUGCGCCCCUCUGCGGAUGGCCCGAGCCGCCCGUGCCCAGGCAGUGCCAGCUGCUCCUCGGGGCAUCUCUGGGCUCUCGGUGGCCUCCGUGCGCCGUGAGGCAUCUCCCCGUGCCCGUGCAGAACAGCCCCUGGCUGAGGAGCUCCGGGCAGCCCUUCAGCCGUGCCUGUGCCAGCGCUGUCCGAGCAGCCCGGCGCCCAUCCCUGGGACACGUGUUUGGCACGCUGCGUGCUGUGGGCGGGAUGAUGCAGGCACGGCUCCUUCCCUGCACACCUCAAGGACAAGAAGUGCCGAUUGCCUUUUGGGGGCUGCCGGCCUCCUCCCGCCCCGUGUUCCUGGCUGGCUGGGACCCACAGAAACACCAAGCAACAUCGCCAGCAGCGAGCAGGAGUCACCGAGGGCUCUGUGCAGCUCUGGGCCAGAGAAGCAGCCCCGGCCUUAGACCCCAGCCUUGAUUUUGGGCUGGGAACACUCACCUGCAGGAGACGCCCCUCUGCAGGCGGGACCAGCCCUGACGCUCUCCAGAAGAACUUCAGCCAUGGACCAAGGGAGCCCUCAGGGCUUGUCUUGCUCAUUCCUCCCUGCAAAGAGACACAGCACAAGCACCUUUACAGCCCUCAGGGAAAUGCUGAAAAGGGCAGGAAAUCAGGGUUAUGGGAAGAGCUUUAUGCUGUCACCCAAGCCUUAACCUGUGUUGUUCUACGGUCAGGUGCUGGCUACAGAGCUCUGCCCUGGGACAUUCCAGGGGCUGCUGCGUAAAGCAGCAUCAGCAUCAAAGAAGGAGCUGCAUUGGCAUAGGAAUUCCCUUGCUGGCAUUCCCAUCCCAGGCAUGACACUGCCACAGACCUGAGAUUGGCUUGGUUGGAGCAGAGCACUGAAAAUACCCAGGUUGCACGUUCAAUCCUCAGACGAGGCGUUCAGAGAAGGGUUCAGCUCAGUGCUCCUCUUGUGGCCCUUCCCACUCAAGAUGUGCUUUGGAAAUAAAGAGAAAACAGUUUUCAUGGGCCCUUUAAA
Long non-coding RNA from Hirundo rustica (Barn swallow), 2063 nucleotides. RefSeq lists it as uncharacterized. The record is from RefSeq and is a predicted model, not a curated record. Lineage: Eukaryota; Metazoa; Chordata; Aves; Passeriformes; Hirundinidae. The transcript is spliced from 2 exons.